GAUGAACGCUGGCGGCGUGCUUAACACAUGCAAGUCGAACGGAAAGGCCCUCCUCUUGUGGGGUGCUCGAGUGGCGAACGGGUGAGUAACACGUGAGUAACAUGCACUUGUCUUUGGGAUAUCUUCUGGAAACUGGGGCUAAUACCGGAUAGGAGCUCCUGCUGCAUGGUGUGGGUUGGUAAGUUUCGGCGGUUGGGGAUGGACUCGCGGCUUAUCAGCUUGUUGGUGGGGUAGUGGCAUACAAAGGCUUUGACGGGUAGCCGGCCUGAGAGGGUGACCGGCCACAUUGGGACUGAGAUACGGCCCAGACUCCUACGGUAGGCAGCAGUGGGGAAUAUUGCACAAUGGGCGGAAGCCUGAUGCAGCAACGCCCCGUGCGUGAUGACGGCCUUCGAGUUGUAAACCACUUUCGCCGGUGACGAAGCGUGAGUGACGGUAAUGGGUAAAGAAGCACCGGCUAACUACGUG
Molecule: ribosomal RNA, 468 nt
Filed under: uncultured bacterium
Lineage: Bacteria
Description: partial 16S ribosomal RNA
Rfam family: Bacterial small subunit ribosomal RNA
Source: RNAcentral